UUCUUGGAGAGUUUGAUCCUGGCUCAGGACGAACGCUGGCGGCGUGCCUAAUACAUGCAAGUCGAGCGAAUCAAUAGGAGCUUGCUCCUGUUGGUUAGCGGCGGACGGGUGAGUAACACGUGGGCAACCUGCCUGUAAGACUGGGAUA
RNAcentral lists this ribosomal RNA (148 nucleotides) under Bacillus salipaludis. RNAcentral describes it as "Bacillus sp. WN066 partial 16S ribosomal RNA". It matches the Rfam family "Bacterial small subunit ribosomal RNA", at positions 1 to 145 of the family's 1533-position model. Lineage: Bacteria; Bacillati; Bacillota; Bacilli; Caryophanales; Bacillaceae. The record is from RNAcentral.